RNAcentral lists this ribosomal RNA (468 nucleotides) under uncultured bacterium. RNAcentral describes it as "partial 16S ribosomal RNA". It matches the Rfam family "Bacterial small subunit ribosomal RNA", at positions 28 to 507 of the family's 1533-position model. The record is from RNAcentral.
GACGAACGCUGGCGGCGUGCUUAACACAUGCAAGUCGAACGGAAAGGCCCUGCUUUUGUGGGGUGCUCGAGUGGCGAACGGGUGAGUAACACGUGAGUAACCUGCCCUUGACUUUGGGAUAACUUCAGGAAACUGGGGCUAAUACCGGAUAGGAGCUCCUGCUGCAUGGUGGGGGUUGGAAAGUUUCGGCGGUUGGGGAUGGACGCGCGGCUUAUCAGCUUGUUGGUGGGGUAGUGGCUUACCAAGGCUUUGACGGGUAGCCGGCCUGAGAGGGUGACCGGCCACAUUGGGACUGAGAUACGGACCAGACUGCUACGGGAGGCAGCAGUGGGGAAUAUUGCACAAUGGGCGGAAGCCUGAUGCAGCAACGUCGCGUGCGGGAUGACGGCCUUCGGGUUGUAAACCGCUUUCGCCUGUGACGAAGCGUGAGUGACGGUAAUGGGUAAAGAAGCACCGGCUAACUACGUG